RNAcentral lists this non-coding RNA (31 nucleotides) under Rattus norvegicus (Norway rat). Lineage: Eukaryota; Metazoa; Chordata; Mammalia; Rodentia; Muridae. The record is from RNAcentral.
UAGGUUGUGAACUUCUGAGAUUCAUGGUCCC